AGCUCCAAUAGCGUAUAUUAAAGUUGUUGCAGUUAAAAAGCUCGUAGUUGGAUUUUGAGUUUGGUAAAAUCGGUCUACUUUUUGUAGUACUGACUUGCCUGCUCUUCUUCUCGAGGCUUAUGGGUGUACUUAACCGUAUGUUCAUAAUGUUCGGGACUUUUACCGUGAGAAAAUUAGAGUGUUCAUAGCAGGCUUUUGCUUGAAUAUUGCAGCAUGGAAUAAUGGAAUAGGAUCAUGAUCUUAUUUUGUUGGUUUCUAAGAUCAAGAUAAUGAUUAAUAGGGAUAGUUGGGGGCAUUAAUAUUUAGUUGUCAGAGGUGAAAUUCUUAGAUUUACAAAAGAUUAACUUCUGCGAAAGCAUUUGCCAAGGAUGUUUUCGUUAAUCAAGAACGAAAGUACGCA
Molecule: ribosomal RNA, 400 nt
Filed under: phytoplankton environmental sample
Lineage: Eukaryota
Description: partial small subunit ribosomal RNA
Rfam family: Eukaryotic small subunit ribosomal RNA
Source: RNAcentral